Molecule: ribosomal RNA, 253 nt
Filed under: uncultured bacterium
Lineage: Bacteria
Description: partial 16S ribosomal RNA
Rfam family: Bacterial small subunit ribosomal RNA
Source: RNAcentral
UACGAAGGGGGCUAGCGUUGCUCGGAAUCACUGGGCGUAAAGCGCACGUAGGCGGAUUGUUAAGUCAGGGGUGAAAUCCUGGAGCUCAACUCCAGAACUGCCCUUGAUACUGAGGAUCUUGAGUUCGGGAGAGGUGAGUGGAACUGCGAGUGUAGAGGUGAAAUUCGUAGAUAUUCGCAAGAACACCAGUGGCGAAGGCGGCUCACUGGCCCGAUACUGACGCUGAGGCACGAAAGCGUGGGGAGCAAACAGG